This 1093-nucleotide unclassified non-coding RNA is filed under the name Hevea brasiliensis (rubber tree). Lineage: Eukaryota; Viridiplantae; Streptophyta; Magnoliopsida; Malpighiales; Euphorbiaceae. The record is from RNAcentral.
UUCCAUGUAAUUGCCUUCUAGAGUCGAUUCAAGAAUGAAAUUGAAUUGCAGACACAAAAAGGUAAACACUUUAGGCGAUCUGGGACCUUCAACUUGUUCUUUUAGCUGUUCAAGGUAAAUGGCAGCAGUAGGAGAGCCUUUUCUUUCUUCUGUUUUCCGGGGAGCUCUUCAAAAGUUGGAUUCACCGAUCUUGAGAAAAUUCAAGUCUUUAGCUGGUAUCGAUAAGGAUCUCAGGAAAUUGAACAGAACCCUAUCAAAAAUCCAAUUUGUGCUGAAUGAUGCUGAGGCCAAGCAGAUCAGUAACUGGGCAGUCAAAGAUUUGAUUGAUGAACUCAAAGACUUGGCCUUUGAUGUAGAUGAUGUGCUAGAUGAGGUUGCAACAGAAGCUUUUCGCUUUAAUCAGAAGAAAAAGGUUACCAGCUCUGAAUCUCAAUCAGAAUCUUAUUUUCCAUUAGUUCAUAAGAUAGAGGAUAUCAAUGGGAAGUUAGAUGAAAUUGCAAAAGAAGGGGAUGAGCUUGGUUUGAAAGGAGGAGUUCAGGUAGCGUCUACAGAAUUGAGGGACAGCAAGAGACUAUCUAGCUCGUUGAUCGAUGAAUCUGAGGUUUUUGGUAGGGAUGAUGACAAGAAGAAGAUAAUAAAAUUGUUACGCACAUCCAAACUUAGUACCAAUUGGAAGGGACAUUGUGAAGAAAUGCAAAGUUUUGCCUUUGGCGGCACGGACACUUGGAGGACUCUUGCACGCAAAAACUAUAAUCUAUGGUUGGGAGUUGAUUUUGGAAAGUGAUAUAUGAGAGUUGGAAGAUGAGAAAGAUGGAAUUUUACCAGCUCUGAGGCUAAUCUACAAUCAUCUUCUAGCACAUCUUAAACAGUGUUUCAUGUACUGCUCAAUAUUUCCAAAAGAUUACAAUUUCAAUAAGGAAAAUUUUGUCUUGCUGUGGAUGGCAGAGGAGUUUGUUCCUCCUAGGGGAAGGAAGCGUUUGGAAGACAUUGCAUCUGACUAUUUUGAAGAUUUGUUGUUGAGGUCAUUCUUUCAAAAAUCCAAAACCAUUCUGUCAAAGUUUGUCAUGCAUGACUUGAUUCAUGACCUGGCGCA